Molecule: ribosomal RNA, 440 nt
Filed under: uncultured bacterium
Lineage: Bacteria
Description: partial 16S ribosomal RNA
Rfam family: Bacterial small subunit ribosomal RNA
Source: RNAcentral
CCUACGGGGGGCAGCAGUGGGGGAUAUUGCACAAUGGGGGAAACCCUGAUGCAGCGACGCCGCGUGUGGGACGACGGUCCUCUGGAUUGUAAACCACUGUCCCCAGGGACGAAGAUGACGGUACCUGGGGAGGAAGCUCCGGCUAACUACGUGCCAGCAGCUGCGGUAAUACGUAGGGAGCGAGCGGUGUUCGGAAUUACUGGGUGUAAAGGGAGCGUAGGCGGGGAUGCAAGUACGGUGUCAAAACUACCGGCUCAACUGGUAGUCGCACUCAAAACUGCAGCUCGUAAGUGUCGUAGAGGCAGGCGGAAUGCCGAGUGUAGCGGUGAAAUGCGUAGAUAUUAGGAGGAACACCGAUGGCGAAGGCGGCAUGCUGGACUACAACUGACGUUGAGGCACGAAAGCGUGGGGAGCAAACAGGAUUAGAUACCCUGGUAGUC